Molecule: ribosomal RNA, 395 nt
Filed under: uncultured bacterium
Lineage: Bacteria
Description: partial 16S ribosomal RNA
Rfam family: Bacterial small subunit ribosomal RNA
Source: RNAcentral
AUACGUAGGGUGCAAGCGUUAAUCGGAAUUACUGGGCGUAAAGCGUGCGCAGGCGGUUUUGUAAGACAGAGGUGAAAUCCCCGGGCUCAACCUGGGGAUUGCCUUUGUGACUGCAAGGCUAGAGUACGGAAGAGGGGGAUGGAAUUCCGAGUGGAGGGGUGAAAUGCGUAGAUAUGCGGAGGAACACCGAUGGCGAAGGCAAUCCCCUGGGCCUGUACUGACGCUCAUGCACGAAAGCGUGGGGAGCAAACAGGAUUAGAUACCCUGGUAGUCCACGCCCUAAACGAUGUCAACUGGUUGUUGGGUCUUCAUUGACUCAGUAACGAAGCUAACGCGUGAAGUUGACCGCCUGGGGAGUACGGCCGCAAGGUUGAAACUCAAAUGAAUUGACGGGG